This 514-nucleotide ribosomal RNA is filed under the name uncultured bacterium. Its description in RNAcentral is "partial 16S ribosomal RNA". It matches the Rfam family "Bacterial small subunit ribosomal RNA", at positions 28 to 523 of the family's 1533-position model. The record is from RNAcentral.
GACGAACGCUGGCGGCGUGCCUAACACAUGCAAGUCGAACGGGGAGUUACUUGUAACUCCUAGUGGCGAACGGGUGAGUAACGCGUAGACAACCUACCUCUAAAAUGGGGACAACACCGCGAAAGUGGUGCUAAUACCGAAUGUGGUAUCUUGGUCGCAUGACUAAGAUAAGAAGGAUGGCCUCUACAUGUAAGCUAACGUUUAGGGAUGGGUCUGCGUCUGAUUAGCUAGUUGGUGAGGUAAUGGCUCAGCAAGGCAACGAUCAGUAGCCGGUCUGAGAGGAUGAACGGCUACACUGGGACUGAGACACGGCCCAGACUCCUACGGGAGGCAGCAGUGGGGAAUCUUCCGCAAUGGACGAAAGUCUGACGGAGCAACGCCGCGUGAGUGAAGAAGGUCUUCGGAUUGUAAAACUCUGUCGUUUGGGACGAACGUAUCCUGGGUAAACAAUCCAGGGUAAUGACGGUACCAAAGGAGGAAGCCACGGCUAACUACGUGCCAGCAGCCGCCGUAA